GCCCGCGCCGCCAGCAGAGGGCGCUCCGACCCAGCAGGUGCCAGCCCGGCCGGCCUCGCGGAAGGAGCGCCAGCCAGGUGAGCCCGGCCCGUGCACUUGCUAGUGAGUCCCCGCCUCUAACCUAAGGCAGCGCUCCUGGAAGUGAUCUCGGUGCUCAAGGCGGCAAAGUUCCUGUAACAGGAUAAGACCGUAAGGAAUGCGUUGAAUGAUGCCAUUGUUCUCGUUGGAAAAAACCUGGGUGGUCACAUGUCUAAGGAUCUUGGGCGGUGAGGAGAUACCUUUCUUCAGGAAACCAUUUGUAGAAGUGAUUCCUAUCAGUGAUUCAACUCUGGUUCCCGACGUCCAGCCGCAUGUCUGCAUGCUCCUGCAGGGAAGGUCAGUCUCCCCUGUGGAACAGCAAGCGAGUGAGGACCUCAUGGGCACAGUGCACUCUGUUCAUCUGUUCAUGCUGCUGGGGCCCUUGAGAUGAUUCCUCCCUGUGCCUGAGAUGUCCAGACUCAGUCUCUUCCACUCUCUACCUGGCUGGCUUCUCCUAAUCCCUCAGUUCCAGCUCGAAGGUUAACCAGCUCAGAUGUGGCCCUUCCCACCAGCUCUGCAUGGCCAGGCACCUAAACUCCAUACAGUGGGAUGUGUGCAGUUUCAGAAUUAUACCUUCAAAAAGAAGGAAGCAUGCGAACCUGUCCCCCCUCCCCUCUUCCUGCUAGCUGUAAUGCCGAUGUAAUGGUAUGGUCUGGAUCACGUGUUGGAUCCCAGAUAGAAGCGCUUGUUGAAGAUGACUGACCAACAAUAGAGAAUGACUCCUUGAGACCGUGGAGGCAUCAUAUCAACCUUGGAUUGUGAACAUCAUGUCAACCUUGUAGAAAAAUAAACCGUCAUCUUGUCUAGGCCUGCAUCGUCUAAUAUGGUAGCCAUCAGCCACAUGGGGCUAUUGGACAGUGAAAGUGUGGCUGGUGUCACACACUGAAAGUUUUGAUAUAUUGGAUUGAAUAAAAUAUGCUGUUAAAAGGAA
Felis catus (domestic cat) is the source of this 1009-nucleotide long non-coding RNA. RefSeq lists it as uncharacterized. Lineage: Eukaryota; Metazoa; Chordata; Mammalia; Carnivora; Felidae. The transcript has 4 exons. The record is from RefSeq and is a predicted model, not a curated record.